This 453-nucleotide ribosomal RNA is filed under the name uncultured bacterium. Its description in RNAcentral is "bacterial SSU rRNA". It matches the Rfam family "Bacterial small subunit ribosomal RNA", at positions 9 to 508 of the family's 1533-position model. The record is from RNAcentral.
GGGUUUGAUUAUGGCUCAGAACGAACGCUGGCGGCAGGCCUAAUACAUGCAAGUCGAGCGCGCCCUUCGGGGUGAGCGGCGGACGGGUGAGUAACGCGUGGGAAUAUGCCCUUCUCUAAGGAAUAGCCUCUGGAAACGGAGAGUAAUACCUUAUACGCCCUUUGGGGGAAAGAUUUAUCGGAGAAGGAUUAGCCCGCGUUAGAUUAGGUAGUUGGUGGGGUAAUGGCCUACCAAGCCUACGAUCUAUAGCUGGUUUGAGAGGAUGAUCAGCCACACUGGGACUGAGACACGGCCCAGACUCCUACGGGAGGCAGCAGUAGGGAAUCUUAGACAAUGGGGGCAACCCUGAUCUAGCCAUGCCGCGUGUGUGAUGAAGGCCCUAGGGUCGUAAAGCACUUUCGCCAGAGAUGAUAAUGACAGUAUCUGGUAAAGAAACCCCGGCUAACACCGUGC